AAUCACCAGAUAAAUAAAUUAGUGCUCAUUCUUGCCAGUUUCUACGCUAAUAUUUUCACUAUCUACAUUUUACAGAUAAAGAAAUUGAGAUUUACAAGGCAUCAGGUGACUGGUUUAGGUUCCUACAGCAAAUAGUGACAAAUCCAGACUAGAAAGCAUCUCAGGACUCUUUGAAAACAAAGACAAAAUUCCUAACCCAUCAUGGAAGAAGAGGCUCAAUAAAAGGUUCGCAGAAGAACUGACAAUGAGAUUGGUUCAAGUUGAGAAAACGUCAAACAUGUUCCCUAAGUUUACUGUAAGAUAAUGUAGAAAGCUGUUCAAAUUGCAUACCGAAUAAUCACUUCUUUAUUAUUAAAAAAUAAGGUAAGUGAAAACUUCACAAGUGCUCUUCAAAACCUUCAAUGCUAUUUUUUUCCAUUAGAAUAUGUUU
RNAcentral lists this long non-coding RNA (430 nucleotides) under Vulpes vulpes (red fox). RNAcentral describes it as "lncRNA (ENSVVUG00000005912.1)". The record is from RNAcentral. Lineage: Eukaryota; Metazoa; Chordata; Mammalia; Carnivora; Canidae.